RNAcentral lists this ribosomal RNA (371 nucleotides) under Babesia sp. Dumanli. RNAcentral describes it as "SSU rRNA". It matches the Rfam family "Eukaryotic small subunit ribosomal RNA", at positions 501 to 933 of the family's 1831-position model. Lineage: Eukaryota; Apicomplexa; Aconoidasida; Piroplasmida; Babesiidae. The record is from RNAcentral.
GUCUUGUAUUGGAAUGAUGGUGACGUAAAAGCUCGCCAGAGUACCAAUUGGAGGGCAAGUCUGGUGCCAGCAGCCGCGGUAAUUCCAGCUCCAAUAGCGUAUAUUAAACUUGUUGCAGUUAAAAAGCUCGUAGUUGAACUUCAGCCGUGUUGCUGUGCGAUUUUGAUCGCGUGUGCGGUGCGGCUUAUCUUUUUACUUUGAGAAAAUUAGAGUGUUUCAAGCAGACUUUUGUCUUGAAUACUUCAGCAUGGAAUAAUAGAGUAGGACCUGUGUUCUAUUUUGUUGGUUUGUGAGCGUGGGUAAUGGUUAAUAGGAACGGUUGGGGGCAUUCGUAUUUAACUGUCAGAGGUGAAAUUCUUAGAUUUGUUAAA